UCUGUGGCGAGAAAAGCUGUGUGUAUUGAUUAGGCGCCCGUACCGCAAACCGACACAGGUAGAUGAGGAGAGAAUCCUAAGGCUAACGGGAGAAGGGUUGUUAAGGAACUCGGCAAAUUGACCCCGUAACUUCGGGAUAAGGGGAGCCUCCUACGGGAGGCCGCAGUGAAUAGGCCCAAGCAACUGUUUACCAAAAACACAGGUCUCUGCUAAAUCGAAAGAUGACGUAUAGGGGCUGACGCCUGCCCGGUGCCGGAAGGUUAAGAGGAGAGCUUAGCGCAAGCGAAGGUUCGAAUUGAAGCCCCGGUAAAACGGCGGCCGUAACAAUAACGGUCCUAAGGUAGCGAAAUUCCUUGUCAGGUAAGUUCUGACCCGCACGAAUGGCGUAAUGAUUUGGGCACUGUCUCAACAGCCCGCCCGGCGAAAUUGUAGUACUGGUGAAGAUGCCAGUUACCCGCAACUAGACGGAAAGACCCCAUGGAGCUUUACUGUAGCCUAAUACUGAAGAUCGGUAAUGCAUGUACAGGAUAGGUGGGAGCCAGCGAAACCCGGGCGUCAGCUCGGAUGGAGGCAACCUUGGAAUACCACCCUUGUAUUGCUGGUUUUCUAACCUGCGGCCAUGAAUCUGGUCGGGGGACACUGUUAGGUGGGCAGUUUGACUGGGGCGGUCGCCUCCAAAAGCGUAACGGAGGCGCUCAAAGGUUGGCUCAGCACGGACGGAAAUCGUGCAUAGAGUGCAAACGCAUAAGCCAACUUGACUGCGAGACCGACGGGCCGAGCAGGUACGAAAGUAGGAGUUAGUGAUCCGGUGGUAUGUGAGUGGAAAUGCCAUCGCUCAACGGAUAAAAGCUACCCUGGGGAUAACAGGCUGAUCUCCCCCAAGCGUCCACAGCGACGGGGAGGUUUGGCACCUCGAUGUCGGCUCGUCACAUCCUGGGGCUGUAUUCGGUCCCAAGGGUUCGGCUGUUCGCCGAUUAAAGUGGCACGCGAGCUGGGUUCAGAACGUCGUGAGACAGUUCGGUCCCUAUCUGUUGCGGGCGCAGGAGAUUUGAAGGGAGCUGUCCUUAGUACGAGAGGACCGGGAUGGACAGACCUCUGGUGCACCAGUUGUCGUGCCAACGGCACAGCUGGGUAGCUACGUCUGGACGAGAUAAACGCUGAAAGCAUCUAAGUGUGAAACUCCCCCUAAGAUAAGAUCUCCCAUCCAUUAGGAGUAAGGGACGACAGAGACUAUGUCGUUGAUAGGUCGGAAGUGUAAGUGCAGUAAUGCAUUGAGCUGACCGAUACUAAUAACCCGAGGGCUUGACC
This 1308-nucleotide ribosomal RNA is filed under the name metagenome. Its description in RNAcentral is "bacterial LSU rRNA". It matches the Rfam family "Bacterial large subunit ribosomal RNA", at positions 1602 to 2925 of the family's 2925-position model. The record is from RNAcentral.